RNAcentral lists this ribosomal RNA (490 nucleotides) under uncultured bacterium. RNAcentral's name for it is "partial 16S ribosomal RNA". It matches the Rfam family "Bacterial small subunit ribosomal RNA", at positions 28 to 507 of the family's 1533-position model. The record is from RNAcentral.
GAUGAACGCUAGCGAUAGGCUUAACACAUGCAAGUCGAGGGGCAGCAUGGUCUUAGCUUGCUAAGACUGAUGGCGACCGGCGCACGGGUGCGUAACGCGUAUGCAACUUACCUCACAGAGGGGGAUAACCCGUCGAAAGACGGACUAAUACCGCGUACACUCCAUCUUGGGCAUCCAAGGUAGAGGAAAUGAAAUUCGCUGUGAGAUAGGCAUGCGUCCCAUUAGCUCGUUGGUGAGGUAACGGCUCACCAAGGCGACGAUGGGUAGGGGAACUGAGAGGUUGAACCCCCACACUGGUACUGAGACACGGACCAGACUCCUACGGGAGGCAGCAGUGAGGAAUAUUGGUCAAUGGGCGAGAGCCUGAACCAGCCAAGUCGCGUGAAGGAUGACUGUCUUAUGGAUUGUAAACUUCUUUUAAACGGGAAUAACAAGAGUCACGUGUGACUCCCUGCAUGUACCGUAUGAAUAAGCAUCGGCUAACUCCGUG